This 3849-nucleotide ribosomal RNA is filed under the name Triticum aestivum (bread wheat). Its description in RNAcentral is "partial small subunit ribosomal RNA". Lineage: Eukaryota; Viridiplantae; Streptophyta; Magnoliopsida; Poales; Poaceae. The record is from RNAcentral.
CUUUUCCCGUCUCCAUCCGACUGAGCGGCGGCUGUGGGCAACGAAACCCUAGCGAGUGAGGCGGGGGCGCGGUGCAGCGCCACCUCCUCCCAUCCAGCUCGCCUCCCUCCCUCCCAAUCUCCUCCCUUGUCUCCCUCCCUUCCAAUCUCCUCCCUCCCAGUCUCUUUCCCGUCCAUGGACGGUGGUGGCAGCGCCAUGGAGCACGGCCGCACAACUUCGAUGUCGGGGCAGGUGGGCUCGGGCGUUGAACGGCUCCACGGGAGCAGCAACAUGCGGCGCAUCCAGUCGGGCUUGGGUAGUCCCCCGGCGCCAGACGCACGCGCUGGUUUCCGGCAAGCUGGACAUGGUGAUGGAAGUGCACCCUAUGUUAGCAGGGUGAGCAUCGAUGAAGCCAAAAGGAGGGAAAAUGUCAACCCCGACAAUGAAGAUAACAUUCUGAUGGGGAAUGGUUCAGCUCCAAGAGAGACAGCUUGGAAAGGGCUUGUAAGCAAUGACAUCUAUUAUAUUUGGAACCAUGGCCCGAAGUUUGGUGGGGGAUUUGAUUGUCGGUACUACCCCCUAAUCACUAGAGGAGGAGGUGCAACCCGCUUUAGGGAGCACCUUGGAGGUAUACCAGGUGAUGUGAGGGAGUGCCCUAAUGUUCCAAGAAAUAUUCGUGCUGCAAUGAGGGAAUCCCGGGAUGACUCAAUGCGGAAGAAGAGGGAAAAGAAAAAUCGUAGAUUUCGUUUGGAAAGGGAUAUCAUGGAAGGGUUGUACCAUGGAGAAGGGGUGAUAAAUAUUGAAGAUGAUGAGGAAGAGAUCCAGGCCGCACUUCGGGAGACACUAAGAGACAAGAAUGUCUCUCGCGCAGUUGAGAGGAGGCGUGGGAGUGGCAGUGGUGUUCGUGUGUCUCUUGGGAAACAGAGUAUCACAACAUACUUUGACAAGGAAUUGUCGAGCAACAAAGUACCAAUGCAGCCAAAGAUCAGCACUGCUUUGAAUGUUGAGUCAAAAGAUGUACUUGGCCAAGCUUGGGCAAAGUUUUUUCAUGCUAAUGACAUUGCUGGUCUGAAAGCAAAUUGUCCCUAUUUUCGUGCGGCUGUCAAGAUAACUCAAAACCUUGGCCCAGCUCCUGUUCCAACUGCCAAGGAGAUUGAUGGGAUAUAUUUGGACAAGAAUUAUGAAGAAGCUGAGCAGUGGCUGAAGAUGUUCAAGCAAGACUGGAGGAACUAUGGUGUAACUGUGAUGUGUGACUCAUGGACAGGGCCUACUGGUAUGAGUCUCAUCAAUUUCAUGGUGUAUUGCAAUGCACGGAUGUUCUUUCAUAAAUCCAUUGAUGCUUCUGGUCAAACUCAGACUGCAAGUUAGUUUUCCAAUGAUUGAAACUAUGUUUACGCAUGAUCAUUCAUUGUUAAUUCUGACUAGCCAUGGCUUGUUAGUUUUCUACAUGAUGUUAUGAUGCAUUUAUUGUGCAUUUAGAGUUGAAAAUCUGUUAUGUUUGUUUAUUCAUGGUUGAAACUCUGUUAUUUCUGUUUAUUCAUUGUUAAAUCUAUAUAUUAUGCUUUAUCCUAUUUUACUUGAUAUCACGGUGCAUUUAGAGUUGAAAAUCUCCUAUUUUGUUUAUUCAUGGUUAAAUGUGGCUAUUAUGCCUUUUCUAUUUUUUACAUGAUAUUAUGAUGCAUUUAGAGUAAAAAAUGUUAUUUCUGUUUAUUCAUGCUUAUUUCUGUUAUUACUCGCUUCAUUUUUGUUUCAAACAAAAAUUUACUUGCAAUUAAUUGGCAGAGUUUAUCUAUAGAGAGAUCAGAAAGGUCGUUGUGGAAGAGAUAGGUUCUGAGAAUGUUGUUCAAAUCGUAACCGAUAAUGGGUCAAAUUACAAGAAAGCAUGUAAAACUCUAGUAGAACAACCAGAGUUUAGUCAUAUUGUUUGGCAGCCAUGUGCUGCCCACACUGUUAACCUCAUGCUUAAGGAUGUUGCUAAGUUUCGUGAGAUUGACGUGAUAGUUAAAAGUGCUAAGUAGAUCUGUAGAUUUUUCUACAAUCACAAUAACCUACAUGAUAGCAUGAAAAAGAACAUUGGUGGUGAACUCAUAAAAUCGAAUGCGGCCCGGUUUGGAACGGUGUUCAUGUUCUUGGAGAGUUUCCAUUGUAAGAAAGAUGAGUUUAGGAAAUGGAUGGUGUCCGGUGAUUGGAAGGGAAGUACUUGGAACGGUGCUGCUGAUUAUGUGUUUGCUGAAGAGCUGCUAUCUAGUAAUAUGUGGUGGGCAGCUUUAGAGUGGGUUCUUGCUGUGCUAGAGCCACUCUAUAAAGCCCUUAGAUAUGCUGAUACACAAAAGAGAUGCACCCUAUCUGGAUUCAAGAAGAGUAUGAUGACAGCCAUACAAAAGUUGGAAAGUCAUCUUGGUGGUGGAUCACAAAUGUUUCAUAGAGUCAUGAGCAAGGUGUCCAAGAGGAUCGAUGCUAUGCAAGAAGGCACACUAUUGGUUGCAGUUGCUGUUCUUGAUCCUUACACACAUUAUCAGAUCAACAUGAGCAAGAUUAUGGACUAUGCUCUUGCACUAACAGAUGCCAUUGAGAAGAUCGCAGACCCUGAGACCGCUGUUUUGGCCAUUGAUGAAGUCAGCACUUAUAGGGAAUGUCAUGGGAGGUUUGGCUCAAGGCUGGCACGUUCCUCUGCAGAGAAAAUGUCACCAACUGAGUGGUGGUUCCAAUUUGGAGGGGAAGUUCCUAAUCUGCAGAAGUGUGCCUUGAGGAUUGUAUCACAAUGCGUUUCGUCAAGUGGCUGUGAGAGGAAUUGGAGCGCUUUUGCUUUGGUCCACACCAAGCAAAGAAACCGUCUUCUAUAUGGCAAGCUGCACAAGCUUGUAUCUGUGCGCUACAACUUGAAGAUACGUGCUGAAGAAGAAGAAGACCCGGUGAGAGAGAAUGAUAAGCAGAAGGAAGUUGAUGCAUGUGCAAUGAUGAUGGAUACAACCAUGUUUGAUGCAACAAAUCCUAUGAUGGAAUGGUUGAAUGAGGAUGAGGAGCAUGCAAUCUUGGAUGGAGUUGAUGCUGCUAGUGUCGUAUUUGAGAAAAUACGUUUGCUUAUCUCAAGUAGGAAAGUUUCUCGUCUUGCAAGGAAGGACAAUGGCAGGAAAAGAAAGAGGGUAGAGGAAGAAGAGGAUGACUACCAUGAUAGUGAGGAUGAUGAUGAAGAAAAUGAGGAGCUGGACCUGGAAAUUGAUGAUGAUGAUGAUAGCCAUGAUGAUGGUGCAAGUCAAUCUGAUGGAGGAGAUUCGCCAAUGCAAGUUGAAAAGGAUUUAACAAGCCAAGUUGGAAACAAUGUUGAGGUAACAAGUGAUGGUAGUUUGGUGAACCGUAGAUCUGAACGGGUUAGGCAAGCAAAGAAGGUCAAGGAGGUCACCAGCCUUUACAAUUGACAAGUUAAGCGGCAUGGGAGCAAAAGAGCUUUUGGUUUGAUGAAGACUAACGGGUGGAUGAACAGGAAGUCCGAAGUGAAGGUCUCUGUUCGAUUCAAUACUUUUGGUGCAAGACUGAAGAGUUGAAGAACAGGAAGUCUGAAUUGAACUUUUUGUUUGUAUUUUGGGGUCGGCAUAAUUGAACUUCGAAUGCCGUGUUAAAUUCAUUAUGGACUGUAAUUCUGAACCGUUAUGGGUGUUCGUUUCGACUCUUGGUAGAACUAUUAAGUCGCAUGUUACUCUUAGUAUCUGAACUAGCAAGUCACAUGUUAAUCUGGACUAUCAUGUUGCUUUUCUAAUGGUUGCUGCUCUCCAAAUUGAUCCACUAUGCUAUUGUCUGAAUGGUUGCAACUAGAGUGUUGAUGUUCAGUCUGAUACGUAGUGAUUUGAUGAAUAGAUUCAGCUGUUUGAUUUU